This is a long non-coding RNA of Bombus huntii, 2888 nucleotides long. RefSeq lists it as uncharacterized. NCBI's taxonomy places the organism in Eukaryota, Metazoa, Arthropoda, Insecta, Hymenoptera, Apidae. The record is from RefSeq and is a predicted model, not a curated record. The transcript is spliced from 2 exons.
UAUCCCCGCAAUUAAAAAAACAGGGCAAUCGAUGGUAGAAAAAAGUUUCGCAUUUUUUUAUAGAACGAGCAGAAAAAUUAAUUAGCUUUCGACCGAAACGAUGUAAAAUACAACACUCUCUCGCGAUUAUAUAAGCACGUGUUCUAGACAGAUUCCGAUUAUUCCCGAACGAGAAAGCGCAAAUAUAUUUCGACCGAUAACGCGAUAUAUAUUUAUUUGCUCCCUCGAAACUUCUGCGAUCCCAAAACUCUAAAAUUUACGCAAUCUGUCGUACAUGAAAUUAUCUUUGUUUAUCAAACCUGCGUGUUUCACAGUUUCACGGAAACGAUUGCAGUUGUUGCGAUCCUCUUCGCACACUCCGGUAGAUCUUUAUGAAAAAUUGCGUGCGCACGAUAAAAAGCGGACGAAAACCCAUUAUACGUAUCCCGGCUUCGUUUUCGAGAAUAGCAUAACGCGAGCGUCACACGAUACUCCUGCAGAUUCAGGACAACUCUCCAUCGAAACACGAUAAGCCUUGUGUUUGACGUCAGCACGAACAUGCGUGAAGGAACCGUGCACGAGUGCACGGGUGCACGUGACAACGAGCUCCGAUACCCAGCGAACGAGAUGCAUGCGUUUCGAGAGAAGUCGAGGAGAAAGAAAAUAUGCAAGGACGAAAUUCUUGUCGUGUGCAAAUUCGAACCUGAUCGUUUCGCGCCACAAGUGCUGAGAAAAUUCACGAUGCGGCAACUUUGAACCACGAUAAGAAUCUCCAACGAAGAAUCGGCAUCAUUUGCUGUACAAAUUACAAAAUUCGAUCUCGCGUCUUGGCCCAUAUGUAUUUAACUUUCCUGUAAUCUUCGUGUCAGCAAACGCAACCUUAUACCGUUAUAGAACUUAAUCUAGGCUAAACUUCUACUCAGAGUAACUGGUAAAAACCAUAGCUUCAACGCGAUGUAAAAUAGAUGGAAAUGCCCAUUAACCGAUGUUAAAUCGUUUAUUAAUAUAUUAUUUAUAUAUGUAUGAAAUAUUUACUGGUAAAUAUUUUUGGAGCGAAACGAUGCUGUCUAAGAUUAAUUCUAAAGUUAGACUAUGAAUUCAACGUAAAACGAAACGAGCGUGAAAACACGCAAGACUAACAAUAUAGACGUAAAAACUUAGACGUGUUACAGCAGAAAUCUCGAGUAGUUACGACUCUUUCCGUCAAAACGUGAUAAGCAUUCGAUUCGGUAUCGGCAGGAACGUUUCGCGAAGGAACGCACGUGACAAUAAGUGGCAGCGCUACCGGCGCGCACGAUACAGAAUACACGUGGUAAGAUCGUCGAGGAGGAGAAAGAGGAGAGCAACGCAGCCGCGCGCAGAAGGGAACGCAGACGGAAAGAAAAGACACGACCGGGGUCGCCAACUUACACAGUGAUAAUCAAAGAAAGUAAGUGGGAGACGAGGAUCGCCUUGGUCGGAGAACAAGGAGGAGGAGGAGGAGGAGGAGGAGGAGGAGGAGAAGGAGGAGAAGAAAAAGAAGAGGAAGAAGAAGAAGAAGAAGAAGAAGAAGAAGAGGAAGACGGGGCAGGACGUAAAUACGAAGAAAGAUGGGGCUACCAACAAAGAUAGAACGCAACGCUAGAGAUAAAGAGAGGGGAGAAAGCAGAAGGAGGGGAAUAUACGUUGCGAAAAAGGCUGAGAAACACAACAAAAAUAGACAGACACGCGUAUCGAAGGAUAGGUAAGUUAAAAGGAGAUAGAAAGACGACAGAAGUGGAGAUGAGGAGGAAGGUGCACGAAGGCCGUUGCAUGAAUAGGCGCACGCGCGGUUUACAAGCACGUGGGUAAACCGCCUUCAACAGGAUUCGCACACACAAUACUGCGCUCUCGGAUAUACGCAAAUAGCGUUUUCGUUUCUUUCUACAUCUCCCCUAUCUGCCACGUCGUACGUGCCGCGAAGAUCGCGCAUGUACUUUAUUAUACUUUAUCGAACUCGGGUGCGCGCGAAUCCGGCGGAUUUUUCGCCGACUAACAAGAAUGGAUUGAUAACGGUAUACGUCAAUGACAUCGUUCGGAAGACGUAGCUGAUCGGUGGCUCAACAGAAACAUGGAACGGGUAAUUCCACGUAAUUACGCAGAAACCUGACGUUACGGUAAGCCAACGUGCAAUUUCGACACGUCGGAGUGGUGCAUCCGUUUCGUACUUAGAAGUCGGCAACAAUGGCGCUCUGAACGAUAAAAGUUCGGAUAGCAGCGUACGCCGUACGUGCCAUGCUGCGUGACACCGAUGGCCGCGCAAUCACGUGGAACCAAUACAGGUACACCUUGUACGUGGAGAAGCAUCGUGUACGCACACGCGCGAACUGCACGGAGUGAACCGGAGACGAAGAAAGCGAACGUCUCGUAUGGUGGGGGAACACGAAGGAUGACCUAGAGUGGGAAAGACGACGAUCGACGAAGACGAAAGAGUACACAGACAAUGCCGUUCUGACGAAGACGGGCGAACGGAGAAGGAGGAGGACGAAGGAACGGAAAGAGAAAGAAACUACAGAUACGAAACGCGGUCGAAGAGGAAACGCGAGACAGAAGAUACACGCGGAAAGAAAGAGGAGAGGUCAGGAGCAGACAGAGAGCGAGAGACAAGAGACAAGACUAGAAAGAAGUGGGGAUCGCGAGACAGAAAAGACAAAGACGAAAAUACGAGGAAAGAAGACGGUGGUGGGGGAACAACGUGUCUCUAGAAACGACCUCGUGCGGCAGACGGAGCAACGGAGAGAGUGAAACUAUCGGACGAGGAGGAAAGACGACUGUACUGUAAAGAGCGAGUAAAAAGGGAAAAAUGAUUCUCGCGUAAAGGCGGAAUAAUAUAUCGUAAGUAAAUUGGUCGAUCUGGUUAAAGGAGAAGACGAAGGAAGCGAGGAAAGAAG